Vicugna pacos (alpaca) is the source of this 647-nucleotide non-coding RNA. NCBI's taxonomy places the organism in Eukaryota, Metazoa, Chordata, Mammalia, Artiodactyla, Camelidae. The record is from RefSeq and is a predicted model, not a curated record.
AGGAGAUGAAAGAAAUAUACAGGCAACCAUUAAUUAUGCAAAUUACAACUUAUAUACAGAUGGAGAAUUCUUACAUUUUUUAGUAAAUAAUUUGUUACUCAAGUUCUCUCAAAUCCAACAGACAUGUUCCUAGGGGGAGCUGUUUUUUUUAUUCUUUAUUUAUUCAAUUAGCAUAAUAGGAGAAAUGUGCACUGCUGUUAAUUUAUACAUUCAUUCUUUCUGUGGAUAAACUGACCAAUAUUUCUUCUGUGCUUACAGGAGUCCGGUACAGGGCAAUGGUAUUCAGGAUAAAAAUGUAAUGGAAGACACAGUUCCUGCCUUGAAGAGGUUACAUCUGGGUUGGGAGAUGUAUGAUACAUACACGAAACAACUGGGGAAAACACCAGGCUGGAUAAAAUCAAGUGUUCGGGUGCUUGGUUCAGGUUGCAAGCACUGUAGAGUCUCAGAAGCAAGAAAGAUCACACAAGAAGAGAAAUCAAAGAGCAGUUACUUUGAAAGGUGUCUACUGAUGUGUGACCACCAUGGUUGGUGCCUGGGCCUUGGUUCAUGCAGGCCCCUUGGAAGAAUGUCUCCCUGGUGCUUUCUGGACUGCUGGCUCUUUCUACUACUUUCCUGCCACUCUCAAGCAUGGGCAGCAAGAAACUUGA